Molecule: long non-coding RNA, 1596 nt
Filed under: Homo sapiens (human)
Lineage: Eukaryota; Metazoa; Chordata; Mammalia; Primates; Hominidae
Description: HSALNT0093217
Source: RNAcentral
CUAAGCUGUGGGAAAUGGGAAAUUGCGUAAAAAUCUGGGUUGGGUGAUUUAAAAAAAAAGCAGGGGCUGGGCAUAGGCAGUAAUAUAAGGCAAGAUGGCUAAGGAAGAAGGUGGGCAGCGGAGCCGGUGAAGGAAGCCGCAGGCGCGGAUGGAGGCGAAGAGAUCAGGAGCAGUAAAGGAACACUCUCUUCCCCAGUCAGCUGGGAUACGGAUUUUGUAAGGCCUAGGGACUUUGUCUUUGGAGGUCCUGUCUCCAUAAGGCUUCCCAAAACAAAGAAUGUUCAGAUUGGACUGGCCUUAAAAUGCAGUAUUUAAAACAGCAACAUGUCUGACAGAUCCGAGAAAUGAAAUACGUCCAUUUCUUUUGGCAAGGAGCAGAAGGCAACAUAAAGCAGCUGCAAGAAUUAAUUCAUGGAGAUAGUUGACAUUUUCGAGCUGACUGCCUCUUAGAGAAAAUGAUGUCAUUCUCCAGCAGCCUAAUGACAGUCAUCAGCCUGAGAGGACACAUGCUAAUAAGACUAUCACCAGCAAAGAAUUUUCUGAGCAAAUGUGUACUGGAGACCUUCUGAGGAACCCACUAGAGCCUGCACAUCCCCUUUUCCUAGCAAGGUCAACUGGAAAACAGAAAUUCAGCAAGGUUAAGUGACUUGCCCAAAAUCAGAGCUGAAACUCUAUUUCUCUUCCUCCAAAUCCAGUGUUCUUUCCAAGAUAACGUGCAACUUUCCUUUGGAAUGAUCAGCAGAAUGUCAAAUAAGGAAAGGACAUGUAGAGUUCAUGGGAGGAGACAUUACUUCUGGCUGCAGAAUUAUGGAGGCUUUAUGGGAGACGCCGUAUAUUUUAUCUGUGCGCCUUGAUCACGUGUCUGACCAUGGACAGAGAAACCAGCCUAAUGAGCCUUCUUUACAGGUCUUACUGCCUAUUAGAGCAAAGGAAGAGGAAAUCUUUGGCUAACCGGUCAGAGAAAACAACUGGAUUAAACAAGAUACUCUUCAUGACUGUGGUUGCAAAAAUGCAACACAACUUUUAAAAAUCUUAGUACUAAUUUUUAAAAAUGGCUUUUAAUUUGGGGGAGACUCGAUAACAGAACCCGAAAAUCUGAUGAAUUGUAUGAACAUUUUGUUCAGAAAAAUAAACAUAUAUUACCAGAAAAUUUCAUAUGUGAUUCAAGAAGUCCACAGAAGUUCCAUGUUGUAAGUAAUUAGAAAAUAAGAAUUCUGAAUUGUUAAAAUAAAAUUUAAUGUUCAACAUCAUUCAUCCAGGAAGUGGAAUUUUCCCUCUGUUAAUCAUAGAAAGAAAUGCUCUCAAAUUUAGGUGGAAAUAAAAUAUUUGUUGUUGGAAAUGUAUAUACUUCUGCUGCUUUUAAAAUUCCAGGCUUCAUCCAUAUUCAAAAUGCAAAAUAUUAUUAAAAUAAUCAGAGCUUUGACUUUGGAAAAGUCUGAAAUUGCACCUUGGCAACACUGGAUCUACUCCUGUCACUCCCCAAGUGGUGGUCCUUAAGUGUUAGUGUGCUUGAGAAUUAACUACAGAGAUUGUCUAAAAUUACCAGUUUCUAGGAUGAGCCCACCAAUCUGUGUUUUAACAGGAGCUCCAGAAAAU